This 353-nucleotide ribosomal RNA is filed under the name uncultured Anoxybacillus sp. RNAcentral's name for it is "bacterial SSU rRNA". It matches the Rfam family "Bacterial small subunit ribosomal RNA", at positions 1028 to 1382 of the family's 1533-position model. The record is from RNAcentral. Lineage: Bacteria; Bacillati; Bacillota; Bacilli; Caryophanales; Anoxybacillaceae.
GGGUGGACAGGUGGUGCAUGGUUGUCGUCAGCUCGUGUCGUGAGAUGUUGGGUUAAGUCCCGCAACGAGCGCAACCCUCGACCUUAGUUGCCAGCAUUCAGUUGGGCACUCUAAGGUGACUGCCGGCUAAAAGUCGGAGGAAGGUGGGGAUGACGUCAAAUCAUCAUGCCCCUUAUGACCUGGGCUACACACGUGCUACAAUGGGCGGUACAAAGGGUCGCGAACCCGCGAGGGGGAGCCAAUCCCAAAAAGCCGCUCUCAGUUCGGAUUGCAGGCUGCAACUCGCCUGCAUGAAGCCGGAAUCGCUAGUAAUCGCGGAUCAGCAUGCCGCGGUGAAUACGUUCCCGGGCCUU